Molecule: ribosomal RNA, 246 nt
Filed under: uncultured bacterium
Lineage: Bacteria
Description: partial 16S ribosomal RNA
Rfam family: Bacterial small subunit ribosomal RNA
Source: RNAcentral
CGUAGGGAGCAAGCGUUGUCCGGAUUUACUGGGUGUAAAGGGUGCGUAGGCGGCUUUGCAAGUCAGAUGUGAAAUCUAUGGGCUCAACCCAUAAACUGCAUUUGAAACUGUAGAGCUUGAGUGAAGUAGAGGCAGGCGGAAUUCCCCGUGUAGCGGUGAAAUGCGUAGAGAUGGGGAGGAACACCAGUGGCGAAGGCGGCCUGCUGGGCUUUAACUGACGCUGAGGCACGAAAGCGUGGGUAGCAA